RNAcentral lists this ribosomal RNA (302 nucleotides) under uncultured bacterium. RNAcentral describes it as "bacterial SSU rRNA". It matches the Rfam family "Bacterial small subunit ribosomal RNA", at positions 28 to 329 of the family's 1533-position model. The record is from RNAcentral.
GACGAACGCUGGCGGCGUGCUUAACACAUGCAAGUCGAGCGGUAAGGCCCUUUCGGGGGUACACGAGCGGCGAACGGGUGAGUAACACGUGGGUGACCUGCCCUCAGCUCUGGGGAUAAGCCUGGGAAACCGGGUCUAAUACUGGAUAUGACUCCAUGACGCAUGUUGUGGGGUGGAAAGCCUUGUGCGGCUGAGGAUGGGCCCCGCGGCCUAUCAGCUUGUUGGUGGGGUGANGGCCUACCAAGGCGACGACGGGUAGCCGGCCUGAGAGGGCGACCGGCCACACUGGGACUGAGACACGG